Molecule: RNA transcript, 3661 nt
Organism: Metopolophium dirhodum (rose-grain aphid)
Lineage: Eukaryota; Metazoa; Arthropoda; Insecta; Hemiptera; Aphididae
Gene name: juvenile hormone acid O-methyltransferase-like
Exons: 6
Source: RefSeq, a predicted model, not a curated record
GGUUCCUCUGGCUUAUUUCAACUACUGCAUUUUUUAAAUAAAAAUGUAUUUAUUUGUAUUAUAUUUUGAUGCUCUUAAUAAUUCAGUGUUAAAAGCACGCAAAAAUCUAUAUAAAUUGUGCUACCUUACUAAAUUUUAUUCUUGAUUGCCGUUAGAAAAGUUUGUGUUAGGCUCUCAACCAAUUCAUCCAUAUCCAAUAUUUAGGAAGUACUCCCUAAAUGUGAUUUAUUCUUUUCAAAAAUAAACUUUCAUUAAUCUACAGUUUAUCUCCGGUUCACCUAUUUUUCCUUGUGGUUUAUUUUCGAUAACUAUUGCAGAUACUACACAUAAUGUUCCAUUCUAUAACUGUAUUUUCAUUUAAAUUGGAUUGUUGUUCAUACCAUUUUAUAUUUGUCAUUUCAUGACCAGCCAUAUAUAAAUCGCACUGCAGUCGUAAAUUAUAUUUGCAAUUUCACUAACCAAUUACCACUACGGAUAAUAUUUACCUUUUAUUUUAAAUUACAUUUCCAAAUAUCUCUUUACUGAAAUAUGACUUUGCUAAGAGAUUGUUUGAACAAAUUCGUACACUUUGCAACACUUUGUGGUCUUGAAGAUGUCAGACAGCUUCCUUCUCUUGUAAUAACAAAUUUAAAAAAAAUAUUUGUUAGUUAGGCGCAAGAACUGUAAUACUGUAUAGUAAAUAAUAUUGCUGACGAGUGACGACUACUAUGAACAAUAGGUAGGUAACCUAACAAACGACUUUCAACUGACAAAAUAAAUAGUUAAUGAUCUUAUGAUAAGAUACGUAGAUAGUAAAUUGUACAUUGAAAACAAAAUUAAAUUUUAAACUACAAUGAUACAAAUUAUAAUGUGGGAAUGUAAAUUUAUAAAAAGAUUCACAAUUUUAUUUAACCAACAGUACCUAUAUAUAUUAUCAGGUUUCCUGUAUGAGGUAGUCAAGAUAACGUGGGUUUUUAUAACAGGGAGUCUUGGAAAUAUUUGGGUAACCCGAGAUAACCCGGAAUUACCCUAAUAAAAGCUAUGAAUAAUAUUAGGUAAUUUACAUACUAAAGAAUCUACAGUCGUCAGAUAAAUUGAGACGGCGGCGGCGCUUUUCAGUAAGUGUAGCCUAAACUAGUUGCUGGCAGUGUGGUGCAAAGGUCACACAGUUGGCUACGACAAGAGCAGUCACCAGUUCGAUCCCGACUCAGUGCAAAAAAUUGUAUUUAUUAUUAUUAUUAUUUUAAAAUUUCUACUUUUUGUUCUUUAAUAAAAGAUAAUUAUCAGAAUAUUUAAUUUUUAAUUAAUAUCGUAAAAUAAUUUUUGUGACAAUUGUUGGGUUAUUGAUGUAUUUUCGGUAAUAAUAUUCAAAUACGGAGAACCACUGGUUUUCCGUUAUCGCACCUCCGCCGCCGUCUCAAUUUAUCUGGCAACGUCUGUACUUUGAUCAGAUUAACUAACAUAUAAUUUAUGAAAAGGCUUUCUAAAACAAAUUUAAAUAAGAUUAUAAAAAUAUAAAUAGGUGGAAGAUUUUUAUGUAUAAAUUUAAUCAUAUUGCUUUACAAUAAUGUGUUGGUUUUGGAAAUUACAUGAUUAAGAAGGUCUGUUAGGUAUUUUAUCUUGAACCCUAAUGUGCUUAUCACUUAACCAAGUAUAAAACAGUAUGUUUUGUGAGAAAAUAUUUAGUUUGUUGAAAUGCAUUGCCCGGGGCAGUAUAUCAAAGAUAAUGGUAUGCAACGGAGGGAUGCCAGAGAUAUCUCAAAUAUAUAUAUAGAAAAAAUGGUAUGGAAAUCUAAUGAAAUAGUUUUAGACUUAGGAUGUGGACCAGGUGAUGUUACCUCAGAUAUUCUUUAUCCUUUUUUAAAGAAUAAAAUCAAUCAGUUGGUUGGUGUUGAUAAAUCAAUAGAAAUGGUAGAAUUUGCAAGAAAAACCUAUGGAUGCUCCAAGAUGGAUUUCAAAGUUCUGGAUAUAGAAAAUGCCCAUGACUGCUCUUUUUAUUCGCACACAUUUAACAAAAUAUUUUCAUUUUUCUGCUUUCACUGGGUUCAUAAUAAAGUUGAUUCCUUGCUGAAUAUGCACUUAAUGUUGAAAAGUGGUGGAGAAAUUCUGGUUAACUUCAUGUUAAUUAAUCCAUUUGUUGAAUUGUAUAAAUGUAUGGAUACAGAAUGGCAAAUAUAUAUUAAAGAUAUAAAGCGGAUGUCACAAAAUGUGUAUUCACAAGGUGAAAUAAGAGACAUUUUCACCAAGGCUGGAUUUCGAAUUAUUAAUUUAGAAUCAAGUAUCAAAAAAUAUACAUUUCCAGACUUCCCAUCACUUUUAAGUGCCGUUAAAGCAGUAGAUGUUAUGUACAAUAUUUUGCCACAACAUUUGCAUGACAGAUACUCCAUGCAUGUUAAAGAUAAAAUAUGUGAGAGACAAAUGGUUGAAAUAUGCUCCAUUACAGGAAAAAUAAUCAAGGCAUAUCUUCCUAUUACUGUGCAUGCUGUCAAAGAUUAAAAUUUUUAAAAAAAUUAAAUUUUCAAGGAAGAAAGAAUGAGUUCAACUUUCAAGAGCAUUCAAGAAGUUACAUGUGCAAGAUACAAGCAAUACAUACUGGACCCAUAUCGGACUCAGACUUCGAUACGAGUCGCAACUUGCUCAUUUUUCCUUUUACAAGCAAAUAUCAUCCUUGUUUUGACAUAAUAUGUAAUAAUAUAUUUUGUUAGUAUUUGGCUAUGUAUUGGGCAACCAACCUUUGUCAAAAUGUUUUGUUUAUUUAUUUCUUCCAUAACUACAAAAUAUGUUUAAAAAAUAAAGAGUAUAAAAUGUGUGUGAAGUUUUUUAAUUUAAAUGCAACAUUACAAACAUACCUUCUAUUAAUAUAUGUUGUUUCACACAUUUUUCUUCAAUAAUUUUUGUUAUUAUUACUUCUAACUUAAAUAUAAUUUCUUUCAAAUUAUUUGAAGGGAUUAAUAAAAAUCCCUUGCUUCUUGAUUUUAUUAGAUUAUCCUCGGGAUCCAAGUUUUGCACAUUGAUAUCUACAUCAUUAAUCAAUGAUAAAUAGCAGUUUUCACAAUGUUUGGCAGUUGAAAAUUUUUUAGCCUGUCUUGCAAUGUAACCAAUGAAAUAUGUUAGGGCUGACAUGUCAAUACUAUCGUUUAUUAAAAAGUCUUGUUCCGUGUAAGUAUGGUCUAAUAAUGCAUCAAAUCAAUUUUUUCUUAAAGCCUAAAGAAAAUAGUUUAAAUAAAAUAGCCAUGCCUCCAGCUUGAGAAGCACUGAUAUAUGAUGACCUUAUAAAUCUAUCAAGCAUUUAGCAUAUAUUUUGGUAUCCCCAGGAUCUCUGUUAAAGUACAUAUUAUCUUAGAGAGGCCUUAAGAUUGCUCAGAGUGGUCUAAGCCCCCUCCGGCCCUCCCUUUUCAUGUCCAUGUAAUUAUAAAUUAUUAUUUGUUAAUUAUAACACUCUGAAAUAGUUAUGUAUGAUAAUUUAGUGAAUUACCAAUAGGUAACUCAUACAUUUUUCAUAUAUUUUUUUGGAAUAGGUAGGAAAUUUAAAAAUGACAAUAUUUAAUAAUAUUAAUGACUGUAUUUGAUAAAAAGAAAUUAUUUAAAUACAUGCAUACAAAUAAUUUAGAUCAAAAAAGUAAUUAUACAAUGAAAAAUUUUUAAUUUUAUUCGUUAAAUCAUAAUAUAUUUUCAAUUUUCU